GGUUGACCUCGGAUCAGGUAGGAAUACCCGCUGAACUUAAGCAUAUCAAUAAGCGGAGGAAAAGAAACCAACAGGGAUUGCCCU
This 84-nucleotide ribosomal RNA is filed under the name Chaetomium sp. CBS 123940. RNAcentral's name for it is "partial 28S ribosomal RNA". It matches the Rfam family "Eukaryotic large subunit ribosomal RNA", at positions 1 to 81 of the family's 3401-position model. The record is from RNAcentral. Lineage: Eukaryota; Fungi; Ascomycota; Sordariomycetes; Sordariales; Chaetomiaceae.